GUACUGAUGAAGAGUCCCAAACUAGGACGAAAUAACUAUCCAGUAC
Trichobilharzia regenti is the source of this 46-nucleotide non-coding RNA. The record is from Rfam. Lineage: Eukaryota; Metazoa; Platyhelminthes; Trematoda; Strigeidida; Schistosomatidae.